This 468-nucleotide ribosomal RNA is filed under the name uncultured bacterium. RNAcentral's name for it is "partial 16S ribosomal RNA". It matches the Rfam family "Bacterial small subunit ribosomal RNA", at positions 28 to 507 of the family's 1533-position model. The record is from RNAcentral.
GACGAACGCUGGCGGCGUGCUUAACACAUGCAAGUCGAACGGAAAGGCCCUGCUUUUGUGGGGUGCUCGAGUGGCGAACGGGUGAGUAACACGUGAGUAACCUGCCCUUGACUUUGGGAUAACUUCAGGAAACUGGGGCUAAUACCGGAUAGGAGCUCCUGCUGCAUGGUGGGGGUUGGAAAGUUUCGGCGGUUGGGGAUGGACUCGCGGCUUAUCAGCUUGUUGGUGGGGUAGUGGCUUACCAAGGCUUUGACGGGUAGCCGGCCUGAGAGGGUGACCGGGCACAUUGGGCCUGAGGUACGGCCCAGACUCCUACGGGAGGCAGCAGGAGGGAAUAUUGCACAAUGGGCGGAAGCCUGAUGCAGAAACGCCGCGUGCGGGAUGACGGCCUUCGGGUUGUAAACCGCUUUCGCCUGUGACGAAGCGUGAGUGACGGUAAUGGGUAAAGAAGCACCGGCUAACUACGUG